Molecule: ribosomal RNA, 447 nt
Filed under: uncultured bacterium
Lineage: Bacteria
Description: partial 16S ribosomal RNA
Rfam family: Bacterial small subunit ribosomal RNA
Source: RNAcentral
UCCAGACUCCUACGGGAGGCAGCAGUGGGGAAUAUUGCACAAUGGGGGGAACCCUGAUGCAGCGACGCCGCGUGAGCGAAGAAGUAUUUCGGUAUGUAAAGCUCUCUCAGCAGGGAAGAAAUUGACGGUACCUGAGUAAGAAGCUCCGGCUAAAUACGUGCCAGCAGCCGCGGUAAUACGUAUGGAGCAAGCGUUAUCCGGAUUUACUGGGUGUAAAGGGAGCGUAGGCGGCCUGCCAAGUCUGAUGUGAAAUACCGGGGCUCAACCCCGGGGCUGCAUUUGAAACUGUUGGUCUUGAGUAUCGGAGAGGCAGGCGGAAUUCCUAGUGUAGCGGUGAAAUGCGUAGAUAUUAGGAGGAACACCAGUGGCGAAGGCGGCCUGCUGGACGACAACUGACGGUGAGGCGCGAAAGCGUGGGGAGCAACCAGGAUUAGAUACCCGAGUAGC